Cercocebus atys (sooty mangabey) is the source of this 2046-nucleotide long non-coding RNA. Lineage: Eukaryota; Metazoa; Chordata; Mammalia; Primates; Cercopithecidae. The record is from Ensembl.
CCCCCCUAGGGUUCCGGAUGGUGAGCGGCGAAGGUAAGGCGAGCUCGCAGAGGCAUCGGCGGCGGCGGCGGAGACGGAGAGAGGCAGGCAGGCAGGGCGAGGGCGAGAGACGGAGGGAGGGAGCGAGCGAGGCGGACCAGACAGACAGACAGGCGGGCGGGCGGGCAGAGCGAGCCACCCGCCAGGCUGCGCUCAGCCCCGCUCGCAGCGGAGAGAGCAGAAGGCAGGAGGAGGGAGGGGAGGAGGGGGAGGGAGGGAGAGAGGGAAUCCAGCUACCACCACCCAAAGCCAGCGUCUGCUUUCUGUCCUCAUUUCCUUUUCCCACCCAGCUUGGAGAGCAGAGAAAGGCAGAGAGAGCGAGAAAUAGAGACAGUCUGAGAGACAGACAGACAGCCAGAGAGAGCGGGAGGGAGGAGGGCGGAGGAGGAGGAGCAGGAGGACUACGCGGGGCGCGUUCCCUCCCAGCAGCCGGGCGCCCGCGUCGCUGCCACCGCCGGAAGACAGACGCCCCCUAAAACCCCUCGCCUGGCUCGGACCCACGGAGCCGGCAGCCCAGCACUCCGAUGGGAGCUUGCCUGAUUGUCAAGCCAUCAGCCUGGACCCCAGAGCCUACCCAGCUGAGCAUGUGCAGAGGGCCCCGAGUGCGGGGCGACACUCAGGCCAUUACAGAGACCACCCUGGAGAUGCUGAUGAAGACAGGCCUUUCCUGCUGAGCCGGGCCUGUCUGCACAGCCUGCUCAGGUAACAGUGUGCAGGGAAGCCAGGCUUGGGCCUGGGCCACCCCCAGGAAGUGGGGAUCAGGGGAACUUGCCUCCCAGUCCCAACAGGGAUCCCCUCCCAGCUUAGGUCAAAAAGAGGUUCUUUACAGAAUCAAAACAUAUUAACCCAACAUUUACUCAAACUCCCCAUUAUCCAGAAAGGGGAACUGAGGCUCAUGGAUAUACAGUGAGUCCUACCUCCUAGCCUGAGGACUCUUCCCUGCGCCUUGAUGACCUGAGAGAACUGGGAGGAGAAAGGGGUUGUGACAAUGACCAGGACUCAGGGCAGAGGUGGAAACCAGAGUGCCUGAUGUGUGCAGCUGCUGACCCCCCAGGACACCUCUCUACCGGAGUCUGUGGAAGCAGAGAACUGGGAGGCCAAGGUGAGGUGCUGGGAGGGCCUGGGUAGCCCAGGUAUGCUAAGGUGCCCUUGCAGGACAGGGAGGGGGGUGGGGGCAGUGGCAGAACCCCCCUCACUACUCCUGGCCCAGGUUAGCCCACCCAGGCUCAGGAGCUGCGGAGCCAGGUGAAGCUGCCCUGCCCUGCAGAGGCAACUCCCUGAACUGACACAUGAAGCCUCCGGCUCCAGGAAGCUCCCUAGAGCUGAGCCUGCCUGGGGACCCCACCCAGCUUCCAAAGGAGCAUUCCUGGGGCCUGAGGUCUGGGGGUGGAGUCUCCUGGGAUUGUAAGGGUGGGGAGGUACAGCUGUGGGAGGAUGCAAGGCUGUGUGUAUCCGACUGUAAAUGUGCAGGGCACUCAAGCUUGUGUGCAAGCAGGUGUGUGUGGCGGGCUCUGUCCUUCCGUGCACAUGGGGUAAUAUACAAGAGUUGUAUAAGUGGACCAGGCUGGGGAGUGUUCAAGGGCUGUGUUAUGUGGUACAUGGGAGUAUGAAUAUGCAGGAUUCUGGGUGUGUACUGGGCAGGUGUGGGGAUACGGCGUGUGCCACACUGGAUGGUGUGUGUGCAAGGGUGCUAGUGUACACUGGAGAGAUGUGUGUAUAGACAAGAUCUGAAUACACUGCGAUGGUAUCGUGUGUGCACACAGGGAUCUGUGUGUACACUGGCUGUGUGUGUGCCCAGGGUUCUGGAUGCACAGUGGGAGUGAUGUGCACAUGUGGCUCCAUUUGUGCUUUGGUGGUGGGUUGGGCAAGCCUUGAGCUGAGCUGGGCUCAGCAGUGCCCAGCCUUGUGGCCAAAUCGCUGAAGUCACUUCCUUUCCAGCAGCAACUUUCCAGGAGGAGGAGUUCUUCAGACCUGGGCGGGGAGGCAGGGGGGGGCGGAACAAGGAGC